RNAcentral lists this long non-coding RNA (457 nucleotides) under Homo sapiens (human). Its description in RNAcentral is "HSALNT0117904". The record is from RNAcentral. Lineage: Eukaryota; Metazoa; Chordata; Mammalia; Primates; Hominidae.
CCGGAAGCGGCGGUGCAGGGAGCUGCAGGAGGAGAGCGGUCUGACAGUGGACGCCCUGCACAAGGUGGGCCAGAUCGUGUUUGAGUUCGUGGGCGAGCCUGAGCUCAUGGACGUGCAUGUCUUCUGCACAGACAGCAUCCAGGGGACCCCCGUGGAGAGCGACGAAAUGCGCCCAUGCUGGUUCCAGCUGGAUCAGAUCCCCUUCAAGGACAUGUGGCCCGACGACAGCUACUGGUUUCCACUCCUGCUUCAGAAGAAGAAAUUCCACGGGUACUUCAAGUUCCAGGGUCAGGACACCAUCCUGGACUACACACUCCGCGAGGUGGACACGGUCUAGCGGGAGCCCAGGGCAGCCCCUGGGCAGGAGACGUGGCUGCUGAACAGCCGCAAACCAUCUUCACCUGGGGGCAUUGAGUGGCGCAGAGCCGGGUUUCAUCUGGAAUUAACUGGAUGGAAG